CACCGGUUUGCAAGUUCCCAUAAAACAUAAUAAAGUUUGUUCUAUUCGUCAGUUUCUACGUUCAACUACAACGAAUAUUGAAUGUUUCCAAUUUCAACUCGACUAACAGGAGCACCGGACGGAGCCUUACGUCGGAAUGAAGAAUUAUGCUUGAUUUGGACAUUUCGGAACAAAUUACGUAAAUUGUAACUCGACUGCGUUAGGUCUUCUUCGAGUGAAUGUAUUCAUAUAUUAUAGUUGUAUCAUCUUCAAAUUAUAAACUUUUUUAUUUAGGAUUUCCUUCCUUCGCAUGCGUGUUUGUUUAAUUUAUCUAUGCCUAUUAGAACAGUCGUGAUAUAGAUAAGUAAUAAUAAUACAGUGUGGGCCGUAUGCAUUUGGAACGUAAUCAAUAGAUUCACAUUCGUAUAAAUAAUAGAAGUAGUAAAUGGUUAGAUAAUAUCAAAUAAUUCGCUUCAGCAGGAAACUCAAAACUCACCUGUUCCAUUCAUCGGAAUAUUGCCUUUAGCACAUCUAUUCAAAUUGAUUUAUCUCUAUCUGUGGUUACAGCGUUAUCACUUUCCGCAGGACGGAACCGCCCUUCGAAACACUUUUUGUAGCAAAUUUUGCAGAAUCGAAAAUAAAAACAAAUCUAAUAAAUAGGGCACAGUCACAGAGUGGGUGUUCGUAACGACUAGUCAAUCGCUACAACAGU
This is a long non-coding RNA of Aedes aegypti (yellow fever mosquito), 691 nucleotides long. RefSeq lists it as uncharacterized. Lineage: Eukaryota; Metazoa; Arthropoda; Insecta; Diptera; Culicidae. The record is from RefSeq and is a predicted model, not a curated record. The transcript has 2 exons.